GAAAUAUUAGUUAAUCCAUAAUAUUAGCUUGUCAAGCUAAAGUUACCUUCCCGGUAUUUUUCU
RNAcentral lists this transfer RNA (63 nucleotides) under Capitulum mitella. RNAcentral's name for it is "tRNA-Asp". Lineage: Eukaryota; Metazoa; Arthropoda; Thecostraca; Pollicipedomorpha; Pollicipedidae. The record is from RNAcentral.